This 72-nucleotide transfer RNA is filed under the name Micromonospora sagamiensis. RNAcentral's name for it is "tRNA-Asp". It matches the Rfam family "tRNA". Rfam says of the family: Transfer RNA (tRNA) molecules are approximately 80 nucleotides in length. Their secondary structure includes four short double-helical elements and three loops (D, anti-codon, and T loops). The record is from RNAcentral. Lineage: Bacteria; Bacillati; Actinomycetota; Actinomycetes; Micromonosporales; Micromonosporaceae.
GCCCUGUCCGCUCAGCGGAAGAGCAUCCGUCCGUCGAGCGGAGGGCCGCCGGUUCGAUCCCGGUACGGGGCG